AAAACGGCUUGUUCUAUCGCUGCGGCUGGUGCCGGAGAGGAAAGUCGGGACAACAUAGAGCGCCAUACUUCCUAACGGGAAGGGUUCGUGAAAGCGAAUACAGAUAGUGCCACAGAAAAUAACCGCCGGCAACGGUAAGGGUGAAAACGUGAGGUAAGAGCUCACGCGGCAGUGUGGCAACAUGCUGUUGGGGUAAACCUUAUGGGUUGAAAUGCCAAAUAUACCGGAGUUCUAAUUUCAGAUAAGAGUUGCUCGCUCGAUUCCGGGGGGUAGGCAGAUUGAGGUGUAAGGCGACUUACAUCCUAGAUUAAUGAUAGGACGCGACAGAAUCCCGCUUAUAGAGCCGUCAAAAAA
RNAcentral lists this RNase P RNA (354 nucleotides) under Bacteroidales bacterium. RNAcentral's name for it is "RNase P RNA component class A". It matches the Rfam family "Bacterial RNase P class A". From Rfam's summary of the family: Ribonuclease P (RNase P) is a ubiquitous endoribonuclease, found in archaea, bacteria and eukarya as well as chloroplasts and mitochondria. Its best characterised activity is the generation of mature 5'-ends of tRNAs by cleaving the 5'-leader elements of precursor-tRNAs. Lineage: Bacteria; Pseudomonadati; Bacteroidota; Bacteroidia; Bacteroidales. The record is from RNAcentral.